AGAGUGAACGCUGGCGGUAGGCCUAACACAUGCAAGUCGAACGGCAGCACAGGAGAGCUUGCUCUCUGGGUGGCGAGUGGCGGACGGGUGAGGAAUACAUCGGAAUCUACCUUUUCGUGGGGGGAUAACGUAGGGAAACUUACGCUAAUACCGCAUAAGACCUUCGGGUGAAAGCCGGGGACCUUCGGGCCUGGCGCGGAUAGAUGAGCCGAUGUCGGAUUAGCUUGUUGGCGGGAUAAAAGCCCACCAAGGCGACGAUCCGUAGCUGGUCUGAGAGGAUGAUCAGCCACACUGGAACUGAGACACGGUCCAGACUCCGUACGGAGGCAGCAGUGGGGAAUAUUGGACAAGUGGGCGCAAGCCUGAUCCAGCCAUACCGCGUGGGUAGAAGAAGGCCUUCGGGUUGUAAAGUCCCUUUUGGUAGGAAAGAAUCCUAGACCGUUAAUAACCUAGUAGGAUGACCGGUAACCAAAGAAGUAA
This 480-nucleotide ribosomal RNA is filed under the name uncultured soil bacterium. Its description in RNAcentral is "bacterial SSU rRNA". It matches the Rfam family "Bacterial small subunit ribosomal RNA", at positions 26 to 493 of the family's 1533-position model. The record is from RNAcentral.